GGACUUUCCCUUAUUUGCCCAGGACAGAAUGUUUCCUGAACAAACCGAAAGCAGGUGUGCCGCUGUUUACAGCUUUACAGGAAGAGACAGGCUCAGAACAGAUAUCGCAAUUUGAAUCUGGGAAUACAGGAAAAGCGAUGGAAUCAUUUCCAGACUGCUGUCCACAUCGUAGUAUGCCUGUAGAGACUGAUGAGUCUAUGACAUUGUCCUCUCUCAAUCUGGUCUGGCCUGUGUGCCAGCAGUGCCAAACACACACCCUUAAAGACAGAGGAAAAAAUGAUAUAUUCAGCCAAAAGAUGUGUGUUCCUGAUGUAAGUAGAUUGGAUUACCUAGAGGGUUGCCAUGGGUAUACUCCUAAAGAUUUAAGGGGCAGUCACCUCACCAAACUUUCCAUAAGUGAUUCCCAACACAGAGAGAGCCCUGUUGGCUUGCCCAGUCUCUACUUGCCUCAGAGUUCAGGAAGACACCUUCAGAGAGACUGUAGAGCCCACAUUGAAGAUCUGAGCGAAGGUAUUUCAGGCAUCAGACUUGAAAAUUGCUGCAUUUCCCCUGACAUAUAUCCACAGAACCCUGUGAGUGAGGAUGAGGAGAGUCUAGAAAGGCCUAGUCCUCUUCGCUCUGACCUGGGAGAGAAUUCCGGCAGAUAUUCUCCAGCAAAACAGCCAGGAUUUUACGGUAUGGUUAUUAUUAGUAUGAUUAAAAGGGUUGUGAUAUGAGGAUACAAAGUUUAUUUGAUCUUUUGAAAUAAAAAUAGCAGUUACGUUUUAGACCUCAAAAUUUCUCCCUAGCUCCAUAAAUAGCAGAAGAAACCAUGAAGCUAUUAUUAUUAUUUUAUUUUUUUGUCACACUGUGGUAUACACCUCUACAUCAACACAUUAAUGCCUAGUUUACCUUACCCACUUCCGUAGCCCUUCUGCAAGUUGUCUGUGUUGUUACAUUGACAGUCCCACUUAAAUUACAAUAUCCCCCCCAUUUCAUUAGAAAUAAAUCUCAGCAUAUAUUAGGCCUAGAUUAAAUAAUAUAUGUACUGUGCUGAAUAGAUUUCCGUAUUAAAAUAUGCAUUAAACUGAACUGAAAGUACUAAAAUCUUAAUGGUAACUGGAGGUGUAAUACAUGCAGGGGUCUGUUCUGAUUCAAACUGAUUGCAUUAGUAUUAGCCUGUAUAACCUAUGCAACACAUACAUGUAGUGGGGUAUUCUGCAUAAUCGAUUGCACAAUGUUGACUUUCAUCAGUGGUUGGCAUACAGUACAUGCAACCAGUGAGAAUGCAUUUCUGUCAGUGCUCAUCCACACAGCAACACAACAAGUUUCUUUUGAUAAGUCAUUAGUGAUGUACCAAAACUUGGCAGAAAUCAGAAACAUUACUUUUAAGACAUCUGAUAUCAUAAAUUUUGACAUGGGUGAAGUUGCAUGUGCUGUAUGCACAGAAAAAAAUAAACCAGGUGUAAUCUGAGUCAAUGAUGUUAUGGAGCUUGUGUUAAUGAGACACACUGAGUGUAAACCACACAAACAUAAUAAAUAAAUUCUGAGCUAUAUUCGUCCUCAAUAAUGUCUGUUUUGGAGUCUUGAAUUAUGGCUGUGACACACCAAGCCAUCAGUAAGAAUCUGUUAGCAUAGUUUUUGCAGUGUGUUUUUCGACAUCAGCACUAGUUGAUUCUUGUCAGUUGGGUGACUAAACAUGUUGUAUUCUAAAACUUAAGCCUGCAUUACGACGGUCGCUGUGAUUUUGCCAAGAUGUUUUGUUGGUCCUGGAUCAACAUUACUGUUCAAGAAUACAGACACAAUCCCUACCCCAAAACCUAACCCUACCCAUAAUUUAUUUCUAAAAUCAGUGUGAAAUGAUAGCUGAUUAACAAGGGUGUAGAAGCACCUUACCUCGAUCAUAAGCCUAAAACAGAUAUUUUCUGUAAAGUUAUCCCUAAAUUCUGAUUGGUUGAUUGUGUGGUGUUUUCACACUUUAAAAGAACAUACUCCACACAAUGUACAACUCACAUUCUCAACUUUAUUCUUCUUCAUCCCAUUACUAAACAAAAUUCCUCACUAGAGCCCCUAGUGGUGCAGUUCCACAUUAAUGUUUUAUAUUUAGCAAUUAUCAAAUAUUGUAUGCUUCUCAACACAGCAUUUCCCCCGUUACUCAAACAGAAUUACUACUCUUUUAUAAUUGUUACCUUAUUCAAGUCUUUACUCAAACAUCAACUUAUCUCAAAUAAGCAUACUCAAAUGACCUCUUAUGCAUUCAAGCAACAGUUUAUUUCAGUGGAGCAUAAUGAAAGAUUCUAGCACACUUUUUUUCCUUUUAACAUUACACAGAAUAACAUUCAUCAAACAUUUCAGGAUUCAGUGUAUAUUCACAUUAUUAUUAUUAUUUAAAUAGGGCAGUGAUCUGCCUACACCCUUUACAUAUCUUCUUGGUCUGACUUAUUUCUUUCUCUUCAGACAAAUUACUCCAACACAUAGUCUUUAGACCACAAAGGUGGGCAUCUCUAUCAAGCCCCUAUCUGAAGUCAACUCUAAAUUCCAUCUUUUCCCAUCACUUAAGAUGAAAAAUUUGGACCUGUUUGUUGUUUUACUGCCAACGGAUCAGUAAAAUGGGCUUCUCCUUUUUUCACAUGAAAAGGCUCUGUCACUCUCACCUUAUUUCCAACCACAACAUUGAGAAAUGUAGAUCCUCUUUUACGAUCUGUGUAUUGUUUUCUUUUGUUUAAUUGUGUCACACGAGCUCUGACCUGAGCAAAUUAAUCAGGGGUAUCCACAGGCAGAAGAACAUUCAAAUUUGUUCUCAUAGGUCGGCCUCUCAAGACCAGAAAAGAGGGCUCACCCAUUGCAGCAUGGGGUGUUGUUAGCUCUUCAGCAUGGUCAGGACUGCAGAUUUCCAGGGCUAAUGCACCACUUCAGCUGCUUGAAGACACUCUUUAAGCACCCUGUUGAACCAUUUGAUGGCCCCAUUUUCCUGAGUGUGAUAAACACAGGCCUUUAUGUGCUUUAUUCCCUGUGUUUUCACGAAAUCAGCAAAUGCAGACGAAGUGAACUACAUGCAGUGUUGGGCAAGCUACUUGGAAAAUGUAGUGAGCUAAGCUACCAGUUACUCUACAGUAAAUGAAGCUUCACUACACUGAAGCUACCCCCCUGCGAAAUGUAGCAAGCUAAGCUACAUCAACAGUAGCUUGCUACAUCUAAGCUACUUUUAAAAUUAAAUUUUAAUGUUGAACAUGUUUUAUUACAAGUCAAUGCUAUUUCAGUACUUAAAACUGUCAGUCAAACAGAUAGGCAGGUGUAAUUUUUUAGUUUAAUAGUUUUUUGUGUUCCUUAUCAAUUUGGCUACAAAAACAAUCAAAAUACAUGUAAUUAACAAUGUGCGCACAAGUAAGUGUAUGCACCUGUUGCAUGGGCAUGCUUAAUAUACUGUAGGCCUUUGCAGAACAAAAUGCAAGACCUCCAAACAAUUUCAGGCUGGCCCUUAUGAAACAAAAAUAUAUUGCAGUAUAUUGGAAAAUAUCAUGCAAUAUAUUAGGCAUAUAUUCUUAUAUAUAUAUUUAUUUUUUCCAAUAUAUUUCAAUAUAUUGAAAGCGGCAAACAUUUGUAUAUUUUGCAAUAUAAUAUAUAAUAUAUGUGUCAUCAAUAUAUUAUUAAAUGUAUUCAAAUAUAUAAAAUAUUAUAAA
This is a long non-coding RNA of Carassius gibelio (silver crucian carp), 3659 nucleotides long. RefSeq lists it as uncharacterized. Lineage: Eukaryota; Metazoa; Chordata; Actinopteri; Cypriniformes; Cyprinidae. The record is from RefSeq and is a predicted model, not a curated record. The transcript has 3 exons.